UACAGAGGUGGCGAGCGUUGUUCGGAUUUACUGGGCGUAAAGGGUGCGUAGGUGGUUCUGCAUGUCAGACGUGAAAUCCCACCGCCUAACGGUGGAACUGCAUCUGAAACUGCAGGGCUAGAGUGCAGGAAGGGAGAGCGGAAUUCUUGGUGUAGCGGUGAAAUGCGUUGAUAUCAAGAGGAACACCGGUGGCGAAGGCGGCUCUCUGGAAUGUUACUGACACUGAGGCACGAAAGCUAGGGGAGCAAACAGG
Molecule: ribosomal RNA, 253 nt
Filed under: uncultured bacterium
Lineage: Bacteria
Description: partial 16S ribosomal RNA
Rfam family: Bacterial small subunit ribosomal RNA
Source: RNAcentral